GAUGAACGCUGGCGGCGUACCUAAUACAUGCAAGUCGAGCGAACAGACGAGGAGCUUGCUCCUCUGACGUUAGCGGCGGACGGGUGAGUAACACGUGGAUAACCUACCUAUAAGACUGGGAUAACUUCGGGAAACCGGAGCUAAUACCGGAUAAUAUAUUGAACCGCAUGGUUCAAUAGUGAAAGACGGUUUUGCUGUCACUUAUAGAUGGAUCCGCGCCGCAUUAGCUAGUUGGUAAGGUAACGGCUUACCAAGGCAACGAUGCGUAGCCGACCUGAGAGGGUGAUCGGCCACACUGGAACUGAGACACGGUCCAGACUCCUACGGGAGGCAGCAGUAGGGAAUCUUCCGCAAUGGGCGAAAGCCUGACGGAGCAACGCCGCGUGAGUGAUGAAGGUCUUCGGAUCGUAAAACUCUGUUAUUAGGGAAGAACAAAUGUGUAAGUAACUAUGCACGUCUUGACGGUACCUAAUCAGAAAGCCACGGCUAACUACGU
RNAcentral lists this ribosomal RNA (496 nucleotides) under uncultured bacterium. RNAcentral's name for it is "partial 16S ribosomal RNA". It matches the Rfam family "Bacterial small subunit ribosomal RNA", at positions 28 to 506 of the family's 1533-position model. The record is from RNAcentral.